Beta vulgaris subsp. vulgaris (sugar beet) is the source of this 1394-nucleotide RNA transcript. RefSeq lists it as hypothetical. The transcript is spliced from 9 exons. NCBI's taxonomy places the organism in Eukaryota, Viridiplantae, Streptophyta, Magnoliopsida, Caryophyllales, Amaranthaceae. The record is from RefSeq and is a predicted model, not a curated record.
AAAGAUAACACACCUUAAACCUCCUCCCCUAGCCUUCAUUAUAAAUGGCUAUAGUGGCUAACCUUGAUCCAUCUUUCAUGGUAAACCAAGGGAAAACGAAAUGAAUGACAGUGCUCAUUGGGAAGUGCAAUACGCGCGAUUUUUCAACUUUCCACUUUCUCUCUCCUCCACCCCCACAUCUUCCUUUCUCCGGCCUAUCUUCGCAAGCAAGAAACAGCGUCUGAAGGGAACGUGGCUUUCUUCCUCUUCUUCGAAUGUCUCUGUUGACAUUCUCUUCUAUAAUCAAACCCUUUCUCAACCAACUCUUGUUGUUUCCCUUAACGAAAGAAUCUAUGAAGAACACUACAUUUCGAAGCUGAAUUUUACAUGGCCAAAGGGAUCUGAUGUUUCAGAAUGCUCUCUCAGAGAAAGCAGAGUAAUAUUUGCUAGCUACAGAGAUGACAUGGGCCAGAUUCAGAAGUUUGCCCUUCGGUAUGCCUCUUCUACAGAAUCAAGGAAAUUUAUGGAGUUAUUGAAGUGCUUGAAGGAAGGAAGAGAUUGUUCACGUGGCAUGCCGCGCUGUGUGUUCACUGGGGGAAUUGAUGAAGAGCAUAGUCCACUUCGGCAACCUUCAAUCAACCAUGAGCAUGGUCUUAACUCAUGUUUGGAGGAAGCAGUUCAGGAUCAUGCUGUUGGAGGCACAGAUGUGGCAUUGCCUCAGAGUUAUUCUGCACUUCUUGCUGACUGUUGCACUGAGACUGAUAUAGGAGUAUCUCAAGCACCUACAGAAGCUAAUUUGAAGCGUUUUCUUAAAGAGAAAAGGCUGGCAGACAACUUCUUAGACCUGAUGGACAUGAUGGACUCUGUUAUCAUCGGACUCGGAGGAGGCUUGGCAAUGUGAGUUCAAGAUAAUAUUGUUAUCAUUGGACUUAAAGGAGACUGGGCAAUGUUGAGGGCUGAUUCUAUGUCUAAACCAUCUCUAAGUAGCGAAAUUAUCGGCACAUGAGUCAGGUACAUUGUACCGUCUGAUUUUGUAUAAUAAGUAAAUUAAAGGCAAAGCAAAUUUAGGAACUUGUGAGGCAAAGGACCACAUUAGGUAUUCAAUGGACAAGUCAAACACAGAUCUGCAAGAAUCCAUUACAUGGAUUUUCUCUUUGUCAAUUUAAGAUUGAGAUCAUUUAAUUUGUAGUGCUAAAUUAGAUACACUAUGUUCAUUUUGUACUAUAUUUCCAUGUGUAUGAUUGGAUUUGGAUAGAGAAUGAAAGGAAAAGAAUGGCAGGAAUCCCUUUAUUCUGUGAUGAUGGGAUUGGAUUUAAGGGAAAAGGAAAAGUUGUUGGGAGGUAUGAUAAAUAACCAUAUGACAAUCUUUAUGUUUAUAGUUGCAUCUUGCUAUUGAAGACCCAAAUGUGAAACAU